CUUCGGUUGUAAGCUCUUCGGACGGGACGAAAUGGUUAUGGUGAAUAGCCGUGACUGAUGACGGUACCGUAAUAAGAAGCACCGGCUAACUACGUGC
Molecule: ribosomal RNA, 97 nt
Filed under: uncultured bacterium
Lineage: Bacteria
Description: partial 16S ribosomal RNA
Source: RNAcentral